UACGGAGGGUGCGAGCGUUGUUCGGAAUCACUGGGCGUAAAGCGCGUGUAGGCGGCCUUGUAAGUCUGGUGUGAAAGCCCGGGGCUUACCCCCGGAAGUGCACUGGAAACUGUGAGGCUAGAGUACCGGAGAGGAGGGUGGAAUUCCUGGUGUAGCGGUGAAAUGCGUAGAUAUCAGGAGGAACACCGGUGGCGAAGGCGGCCCUCUGGACGGAUACUGACGUUCAUGUGCGAAAGCGUGGGGAGCAAACAGG
Molecule: ribosomal RNA, 253 nt
Filed under: uncultured bacterium
Lineage: Bacteria
Description: partial 16S ribosomal RNA
Rfam family: Bacterial small subunit ribosomal RNA
Source: RNAcentral